This 484-nucleotide ribosomal RNA is filed under the name uncultured bacterium. RNAcentral describes it as "partial 16S ribosomal RNA". It matches the Rfam family "Bacterial small subunit ribosomal RNA", at positions 29 to 507 of the family's 1533-position model. The record is from RNAcentral.
AUUGAACGCUGGCGGCAUGCUUUACACAUGCAAGUCGAACGGCAGCGCGGGCUUCGGCCUGGCGGCGAGUGGCGAACGGGUGAGUAAUACAUCGGAACGUGCCCAGUAGUGGGGGAUAGCUCGGCGAAAGCCGGAUUAAUACCGCAUACGACCUGAGGGUGAAAGCGGGGGAUCUUCGGACCUCGCGCUAUUGGAGCGGCCGAUGGCAGAUUAGCUAGUUGGUGGGGUAAAGGCCUACCAAGGCGACGAUCUGUAGCUGGUCUGAGAGGACGACCAGCCACACUGGGACUGAGACACGGCCCAGACUCCUACGGGAGGCAGCAGUGGGGAAUUUUGGACAAUGGGCGAAAGCCUGAUCCAGCAAUGCCGCGUGUGCGAUGAAGGCCUUCGGGUUGUAAAGCACUUUUGGCGGGAACGAAAAGGACUGUGCCAAUACCACGGUUCGAUGACGGUACCCGCAGAAUAAGCACCGGCUAACUACGUG